This 72-nucleotide transfer RNA is filed under the name Neojurtina typica. RNAcentral describes it as "tRNA-Asn". The record is from RNAcentral. Lineage: Eukaryota; Metazoa; Arthropoda; Insecta; Hemiptera; Pentatomidae.
UUAAUUGAAGCCAAAAUAGAGGCCUUUCAUUGUUAAUGAAAUAAUUGAUUAAGAAUUUAUAAUCCAAUUAAA